UACGGAGGGUGCAAGCGUUAUCCGGAUUCACUGGGUUUAAAGGGUGCGUAGGUGGGUCUGUAAGUCAGCGGUGAAAUCUCCGGGCUUAACCCGGAAACUGCCAUUGAUACUAUAGGUCUUGAAUUAUCUGGAGGUAAGCGGAAUAUGUCAUGUAGCGGUGAAAUGCUUAGAUAUGACAUAGAACACCAAUUGCGAAGGCAGCUUACUACGGAUACAUUGACACUGAGGCACGAAAGCGUGGGGAUCAAACAGG
This 253-nucleotide ribosomal RNA is filed under the name uncultured bacterium. RNAcentral describes it as "partial 16S ribosomal RNA". It matches the Rfam family "Bacterial small subunit ribosomal RNA", at positions 524 to 776 of the family's 1533-position model. The record is from RNAcentral.